UACAGGGGGGGCAAGCGUUGUUCGGAAUUACUGGGCGUAAAGGGCUCGUAGGCGGCCAACUAAGUCAGACGUGAAAUCCCUCGGCUUAACCGGGGAACUGCGUCUGAUACUGGAUGGCUUGAGAUUGGGAGAGGGAUGCGGAAUUCCAGGUGUAGCGGUGAAAUGCGUAGAUAUCUGGAGGAACACCGGUGGCGAAGGCGGCAUCCUGGACCAACACUGACGCUGAGGAGCGAAAGCCAGGGGAGCAAACGGG
This 253-nucleotide ribosomal RNA is filed under the name uncultured bacterium. RNAcentral describes it as "partial 16S ribosomal RNA". It matches the Rfam family "Bacterial small subunit ribosomal RNA", at positions 524 to 776 of the family's 1533-position model. The record is from RNAcentral.